CAGGGAGACAAUAAAUUGAUUGUGAUGUCUAAGUUAUUUAUUCUUAGGCCGCAAUCCUGUCACCUUAAGGUCGAUCGGUACCUCAGAUUUUUGAAUUAGUUUUACGAUUGAUUCUUUGAUUUCAGUUCCUAAACUUGUCUAGGUCACACCCAACAAAGGUUUCUCCUGGGCCAUUAGCUCAGGUGGUUAGAGCGCACCCCUGAUAAGGGUGAGGUCCCUGGUUCAAGUCCAGGAUGGCCCAUUCGUUGUUGGGGGUAUAGCUCAGUUGGUAGAGCGCCUGCUUUGCAAGCAGGAUGUCAGCGGUUCGAGUCCGCUUACCUCCACUGAAAACUAUCCUGAUAACUAAAUUUCUGGAGAAAAAAAUUGUAGAUGUGGCUUAGAAUUGUCUAUUUGAAAAGAACCUAGCUUCUUGUCAUCUUUUUAUAGUUGAUAAAAUGCUGGGCUCGCAUGGAUUAUUUCCAUGAGAAUUCAGUAGAACCUUGAAAACUGCAUAGAUUAGAAAGAAUAAAGCAUCUCAUGGAUGCAUAGUUCUGUUUUUAUAAUUUAGCCUUAAAACUAAAUUAUUUAAUCCUAGAAUUCAUGUUUAAUUCUUGAGUAAUAGCCGAGCACAAUUGAUUUUGUGAUUGUAUUAAA
RNAcentral lists this transfer RNA (633 nucleotides) under uncultured Prochlorococcus sp. RNAcentral describes it as "partial 16S-23S ribosomal RNA intergenic spacer". The stretch from base 251 to 323 matches the Rfam family "tRNA". The record is from RNAcentral. Lineage: Bacteria; Bacillati; Cyanobacteriota; Cyanophyceae; Synechococcales; Prochlorococcaceae.